RNAcentral lists this ribosomal RNA (253 nucleotides) under uncultured bacterium. Its description in RNAcentral is "partial 16S ribosomal RNA". It matches the Rfam family "Bacterial small subunit ribosomal RNA", at positions 524 to 776 of the family's 1533-position model. The record is from RNAcentral.
UACGUAGGUGGCAAGCGUUGUCCGGAUUUACUGGGCGUAAAGAGCGCGCAGGCGGCUGGUCAAGUCCGAUGUGAAAUCUCCCGGCUCAACUGGGAAACUGCAUCGGAAACUGAUCGGCUUGAAGAUGGGAGAGGGUAGUGGAAUUCCGAGUGUAGAGGUGAAAUUCGUAGAUAUUCGGAAGAACACCAGUGGCGAAGGCGGCUCACUGGCCCGGUACUGACGCUGAGGUGCGAAAGCGUGGGGAGCAAACAGG